UACGGAGGGGGCUAGCGUUGUUCGGAAUUACUGGGCGUAAAGAGCACGUAGGCGGUCCGCUAAGUCGGGCGUGAAAGCCCGGGGCUUAACCCCGGAAUUGCGCUCGAGACUGGCAGGCUGGAGUCCGGAAGAGGAGAGUGGAAUUCCCAGUGUAGAGGUGAAAUUCGUAGAUAUUGGGAAGAACACCGGUGGCGAAGGCGGCUCUCUGGUCCGGUACUGACGCUGAGGUGCGAAAGCGUGGGGAGCAAACAGG
Molecule: ribosomal RNA, 253 nt
Filed under: uncultured bacterium
Lineage: Bacteria
Description: partial 16S ribosomal RNA
Rfam family: Bacterial small subunit ribosomal RNA
Source: RNAcentral